Molecule: ribosomal RNA, 517 nt
Filed under: uncultured bacterium
Lineage: Bacteria
Description: bacterial SSU rRNA
Rfam family: Bacterial small subunit ribosomal RNA
Source: RNAcentral
UAGUCCACGCUGUAAACGAUGUCAACUAGCCGUUGGAGGGGUAAUCCCUUUAGUGGCGUAGCUAACGCGCUAAGUUGACCGCCUGGGGAGUACGGUCGCAAGAUUAAAACUCAAAUGAAUUGACGGGGGCCCGCACAAGCGGUGGAGCAUGUGGUUUAAUUCGACGCAACGCGAAGAACCUUACCUGGUCUUGACAUCCUGCGAACUUUCUAGAGAUAGAUUGGUGCCUUCGGGAACGUAGUGACAGGUGCUGCAUGGCUGUCGUCAGCUCGUGUCGUGAGAUGUUGGGUUAAGUCCCGUAACGAGCGCAACCCUUGUCCUUAUUUGCCAUCAUUCAGUUGGGCACUCUAAGGGGACCGCCGGUGACAAACCGGAGGAAGGUGGGGAUGACGUCAAGUCAUCAUGGCCCUGAUGACCAGGGCUACACACGUACUACAAUGGGCAGUACAGAGGGUCGCCAACCCGCGAGGGGGAGCGUAAUCCCAGAAAGCUGUUCGUAGUCCGGAUUGGAGUCUGC